GAUGAACGCUGGCGGCGUGCCUAAUACAUGCAAGUCGAGCGAACAGACGAUGAGCUUGCUCCUCUGACGUUAGCGGCGGACGGGUGAGUAACACGUGGAUAACCUACCUAUAAUACUGGGAUAACUUCGGGAAACCGGAGCUAAUACCGGAUAAUAUAUUGAACCGCAUGGUUCAAUAGUGAAAGACGGUUUUGCUGUCACUUAUAGAUGGAUCCGCGCCGCAUUAGCUAGUUGGUAAGGUAACGGCUUACCAAGGCAACGAUGCGUAGCCGACCUGAGAGGAUGAUCAGCCACACUGGAACUGAGACACGGUCCAGACUCCUACGGGAGGCAGCAGUAGGGAAUAUUGGGCAAUGGGCGAAAGCCUGAUGCAGCAACACCGCGUGGGUGAAGAAGGUCUUCGGGUUGUAAAACCCUUUUGUUAGGGAAGAAAAGCAGCAGGUGAAUACCCCGAUGUCCUGACGGUACCUAAAGAAUAAGCAACGGCUAACUACGUG
RNAcentral lists this ribosomal RNA (497 nucleotides) under uncultured bacterium. RNAcentral's name for it is "partial 16S ribosomal RNA". It matches the Rfam family "Bacterial small subunit ribosomal RNA", at positions 28 to 507 of the family's 1533-position model. The record is from RNAcentral.